AAUUCAGUGAGGUUUUGAAGAUCAACAAUUGAAGAAGAUAGGCGUUCCAGAUUUGGAAAAUCUCCAAUCCACAUAGAUGUUAGAGAGGCAGGAAGAGGAAGCGCGGUCCCCAAUCUUUUGUCCUCUGCCUCUGGUGGAAAUGACACCAUGUCGUCAUCGCAUCCUUCGAUUGAAAGAUGUCGCAGAGAGGAAAAUCUGUGAAAUCCCUGGCCCCGCUCAAUCAUUGACUUCCAAAUCUUUGUAUUAAAAAUAAUCUCAAGUGAACGAAGGUCGGUGGGAAGGCCAUCAUCUUCUUCAAGGCUUGGAAGCUCACCUCCUAUUCUUAAUUCUUGAAGAGACUUCAGAUUGUGUAAUCCCUUGGGUAAGGCCUCUAGUCUCUUACAAUCAUAUAUCUCCAGCCUCGUGAGUUUCGCACAAGGCAAUCCCCCUUCGGGAAAGGUCACCAGAUUUCCACACCACCAAAUUUUAAUCUCUUGAAGCUGGCGGAGAUUAUGUAAACCACUCGGUAAAUUCUUCAGUUUUUCACAAAAAUCAAUUCUGAUUAUUUCAAGAGAUGUGUUGUCGUCCAACCUUUCAGCUAUUGACUCCAGCUUUGAACAUCCAUAAACACAAAGGGACUUAAGAGACGGAGGUAGAUUGCCAACUUCAAGGGACUCAAGCGUGGCAGGUAACUCAUUUUUUGAAAAUAUACAUGUCAGUGAUGGACAAUAGCGAAUGCCUAAGUGCUCAAGAAGAGAUGAGUUGUACCUUCUGCUGUUGCUGCUGCUACUGUGGAUGCCCUCUUCCACUGUCAAAGUCCUUAUAUUACCGCACUCAUCGAUGAACAACGUCUUAAGGCUCGGUGGUAGCUGGACUCCAGCAAUAUAUCUCAACGAAUGGCAACUCUCAAUAUACAAGAUCUCGAGAGAUGAAUUUGUGUCGCACAUCCAUGCCUCUGGUAACGAUUUCAGUGCAUCACAUUCACUAAUCUCAAUUUUCUUCAACUUGGAAGGCAGAGCAACCUCAGGAAAGGAAUCAAGGGAAUUGCAGCCGCCAAUGAAUAUCUCUCUCAAGGAACUCAGGCUGAGCAGUGAUUGUGGCAGCUUCACAAGGCCUUCACAUAUGUACAGUCUUAGAUAUUCAAGCCUGCAUGAGAACUCGCAGAGCUUCUGUCGUUGGUCUUCCUCUUCCUCAGCCACCAAGGAUUGAAGUUUAGAACAGCUUGUAAUCAUCAGUCUUUUGAGAGAGCAAAUGUCUUGCAGUAAUUCGGUAUGACUCUUCCAUAUAUAUGUUUCAUUUUUAAUAUUAUUUAUCCCCAAUUCUUCCAGUUUUGGUAUUCGCGGCUUCAAUGGCCCUGCGAGAAACACUUGAUUUGAUGUAUCUCUAGAAGCCACUGAAUUCUGUGAGCCGAGAUGAUCAGUUGCACUUCUCCCCACAACUUUUUUACAUUCACCAAUUUGCAAGUUGCAAAGAGCUGGAAGACUAGUAACUGAAACUGACAAUUCUUCACAUCUACCAAUUUGCAAGUUGCAAAGAGCUGGAAGACUAGUAAGUGAAACUGACAAUUCUUCACAUCCAUUAAUUUGCAAGUUGCAAAGAGCUGGAAGACUAGUAACUGAAACCGAAAAUUCUUCACAUCUGUAAAUAACAAGCAUCUGCAAUGCAGGAAGGCAUUUUGGAAAGGUUCCUCGCAGUUUAGAACAUCUUAAAAUGUGAAGCUCUCUCAAUUUAGGAAACCGUUCAACUCCCUGACUGGAUCCAUGAGGAAUCCAGUCUUCCCAUUCUUGCAUGUCUUCAAAACGAAGAGUCUCCAAGCAUGGAAAUGGAAUUGGAGAGUCAUUCCCAUAGAACUCUGAACCCAAUCUCUUUACUCUACUCAUUCCACGCACUGUAAGAUGCUUUAGAGAGGGCAGUUGCCCGACAGACGGCAGGGCAGUGCACAUGCCGCAAUCUUCAAAUUUAAGUGUCACUAAAUUUGAGAAUGAGGAAUCUCCUAACCAUGUUGGAAAUUUUGUGCCCCCAUAGCCACAGAUAUAAAAUUGUUCCAGAUUUUUAUGGGGUUUGAGCAUGUCGAGCACGCCCAUUUCAGUUUCUGCCUCCCUUGAAGAUGAACCAUCGGUACAGCAUGUCCAUCGAAGCAAUAAUUCUCUAAGAUUCUUCUUUCCAUCCAUUUGAGCCUCCUUCGCAUUAUCAACGUAUUUUACGUUCUCUAAUUUUGAAAUUUUAAGUGUCCCACGAAGAUGCAUUAACAACUUUAGCUCUGGUAACCCCGAACAGCUGUCUUUUCCCACAACAAAAUUACACGUCUGAAGACAAGUCAACUUGCCAAUUCCUACUGGCAUUUCCUUCAACAAAUCUGUAUUUGAAUUAUUGAGAUGAUGCAAUUUGAUGAGAUUUCCCAUGUCUGCACACAACUUCUUCAGUCGUCGACAACCCACCAACAGAAGGGUGUGCAAGUUGUAAAGCUUGUUGACUGAUUCAGGCAGAGUUCUAAUCUCAGUUCCAGACAGGUUAAGGUGCCUUAAAUACCUCAAAUCACCAACUGAAUCCGGCAGCUCGGAGAUGCAAUAUCCACGCAGAGAGAAGACCCUUAAGCUUUGGAGUUUGAACAACCUAGGGAGAAUGCUAUGAGCCAAGUAUCCAUGCCGACUAUUUAACAACAUCAGUGGUAAAAAAGUUCUCAAAUGUUGGAUAUCAUACAAUUUCUCAAACCUUUCAACGCCAUCAUAUUCUCCACAAAUGUAUGAUAGAUGACGAAGAUUUCUGGAAAAUCUUUGCUGCUGGUUAACCUCCGAGGUAUACUCCAGUGUGAAGUAUGUCUCCCCUGCAGCCCAACGGGCAAGGUCGUUGAUAAGAUCGUGCAUAACAAAUCGUGAUGCAUCGGUGGCCGAUUGCUGGAAAAAAGAUCUUGAACAUAGCUCCUUAAAGAAAUCACGACCUAAAUCUUCACUAGGAUUCUGACCUUCUUUGUGAUCCAAAAAACCGGAGGCACACCAUAAUAAAAUUAUCUCCUCCUCUUCAAAUUCAUAAUCCUUUGGUAACAAUGAGCAGUAUGCAAAGCAUUGUUUCAAAGUUGGAGGAAGAUAAUAAUAGCUCACCGCAAGGGCUGGUAUAAUGCGGCAUCUUUCUUCUGGCAAUUCCCAUAUCUUGCUAAUGAGCACACGUUCCCACUCACGUCUGUCAUGCUCUCCACGUAAAAGUCCUCCAAGCGUUUGUGCUGCCAAGGGCAAGCCAUCGCAUUUGGUCACUAUCUUCCUGCCGAUUUCCUCUAAUGACAUAUGUGAACUGAAAUCUCGCGUCCCCAAAGAAUGUUGAGCGAAUAUAGCUAGACAAUCAUUAUAUGACAGCUUUUUUAAUUGAUAAGCUGGAAGAGUCCCCAUGAUUUUUGCAACCUCAUGAUUGCGAGUACUAACAAUAAUCUUACUUCCCCGUGCACUUGCUCCAAGCGGACGGCUAAAGUCAACCCAAUCAUCGUAAUUCCGGUUCCACACAUCAUCUAAAACAAGCAAAAAUUUCUUUCCAGAUAGUUGCUUAUUCAGUUCCUCUUGAAGCUUAUUCAAGUUUAGAUUAUCCACAUUCUGGUGAGUCACGAUGGAUGUCAAGAUUGUUUUUGUUAGCCUGAUAACAUCGAAAUCAUCUGAGACACAAGUCCAUGUCUUGAGAUCGAAAUGAUUCUGCACUCGAUCAUCAUUAUAGGCAAGCCGAGCAAGAGUAGUUUUGCCCAGCCCACCAAAACCUACAAUAGGUAUAACCGAGAAUCCACCAUCAUUUCUCAAAUCAUCCCUCAACAACAAUUCAACAAUUUCCUUCUUAUCUGUUUCCCUGCCAUAGACGUUGGCUCCAGUCACUACAGAGGUUGUCUCUAGCCUUUGACUGGCUUUUUUGGACCCUCCAGCUGAACUUACGUUCAAACCCAGCGAGUCUUUCUGUGUCACAAUUUCUUGAAAUCUGUCGUUGAUCUCUUUGAUUUUGGACAUCAUGGCGUAAUCGAACUGAAUCAAUUGUGGUGUAAAAGUGGUGCAGCAAGUAGGAAUGAGCUUCCGAAACUUACUUGUUCUUGUACGACUGCUACUGGGCUGAUCCUGAGCCGCAGCUGGAUCUCCAUUUUCAAGCAGCAACUUCCUCCGGAAAGCCUCAGUUUGAAACUCAUCCAACAAGUCUUCAACAUCAUAAGCCAAGUCCUGAAGCUUGCCAAGCCACUUCUUCACAAACUGAUUAGUCGUCUUCUUCUCCUCAGCAUCAUCAAGCACCGCCUUGAUCAUCUCCAACAUAUUCGCCCACUUCAUCAGAUCGGCCUUGAUUUGCUCUUGGCGUGCAAAAAAUAGAAUCCCCUCUGAAGCUAACUUAUUGACCAGCAAAUCAACGGACGCCGUAAGGAUUGCCUCUCCGAUGAUUUACAUUUUUUUUUUUCUUUCUUCUCCUUUUUUUUUGGGGGGCAAAGAAAGAAGCAGAAUUUUGAGUUUUGAAAAGCAAAAUGAGAAAAUUGAACAGAAAGUGUGAAGGGUCAAGAAAAACGCAGGUAACAAGUCUUCCACUUCUUGUUUAUUCCAGGAAAGUGAAAUUGAAAACAGAGCCCACCACCCAUUAAUAAUUUAGCAAUUCACCAAUCGUUGCCAGAUUCAAUAAAUAUAAAAUCGCACGUUGAUAUUUGUAGGGCCAAGCAACAUUAAUCAAGUGUCCGGGUAAAUGCGGAAUAAAGAGCAAAAUGGAAUGUAUCUACUACGGACCUUCGCUUUACAAGUCUUCAAAGUCAUAAUAGCUAAAUCAAAACGUUUCUCUCUCUGUGUCUCUCUUAUAUAAUUACUUCAUUUAUUGAAUUAAUUUUCAUGCUAAAACGAAGACUUAAAAGUACACUACAAUUUUUUUAUAAUCACAGAAUGAUAACUUCAACUAUUAUGUUAUAUUAAUUUCGUGUUAAAAUAAAUUACAAUAAAAUUUUAGUCGAAUAUAAUAAGUUCGACUUAUUUAUUAAAUAUAUAUAUUUAAUAAAAUAAUAACACAAUUAAUAUGUUAUCAAUCAAAUAAAAGUUCUAAAGUGAAAACAAAAUCGGCCCCCACGACCAUCAAUAAUGUAGCAAGCUUCACUUUAUUACACUAAAGUGAAAACAAAAACAGCCGCUACCACCAUCAAUAAUUUAGCAAGCUUCAAAAUGCUGGUGCUUGUCCGCUUGACGAACUGGGCAUGGGUGGACCAGGCAUCAUUGAGCAAUUCGGAAAAAAUUAAAUAAUAAAAAAAUCAGCGUCCAGCAAAGAGAAUCCAUCUUUAUACGUUGCUUCCUACUUAGUACGUCUAUUGAUAUGUACAUCUAUCUAACAUUUAGAAAAUGGAAGUAGAAACUGGAACUCACUUUAUGGCUCGUAUGCAAUACACGUAUCAACAUUUAAUUAGAGUUCACACACACACACGUGUGUGUGAGUCUAGUUUUAAUUGAGAGAUAAAUUAAACAUAAAUACUAUGUUUCUAAAUGAUUGAAUAAUGAUAUUAUUGGUAUUUAUAAAUUUCUAAGAUGCGAUAAUUAUGUGGGGGGCAUAUAUUUAUGGUUAUAGAAAAUGGCGGUAAAAAUGGAACAAAUCUAAUAUAAUGAAAAAGUGUAAACUAUAGUAAAUUAAUGUUUACUUCAAAGUACGUUAUAAAUAUCGCUUUCUUUAAUACGUUAUUUGCUCCCACCAAUUGAGUUAUGCAUAUGGGUUAAGCAAAUAUGCAUGUAGGAUACAAUAAAGUGUUGAUUUGUUUGUUUAUGUUGUACAUCAAUGAAAGUAAACAUGAAUAUUCUUGAAUGUUAUAAGCCUACCAAGAAUUAAUAGAUUAUUCUUACAAAAAAAUAAUAUGUUGGAUAUUUGAUGCAUAAAAAAUAAAUGUUGAUUGAUGAAAUUCUUUUGAAGAAAGAGGACUACAAAAAAAUGGUGUAGGAUCAUUUUAUUCAUGUCUAAGUGACAUUUAUUUUUAUGAAUGUGAGGGUAUUUUGGUAAUUUUAUGGACACAAGAGUUGUGUGUUGUGGAUAGAUGUUCAUUUUGAACUACAUUACGUGCAGUUAGUCGUAUUUCACAUUUAUAAAAAGUAACUAUGUCGUUUCCUUGAUUAGGAGAAACUGCGAGUGAGAACCAAGCCGCGAAUAUGAACGAUAGUCGAGUUUAAGCAUUGUCACUAUGAGUGAAAUAUGCAAACUCAUUUUCAUAUUUUAUUAUGAUUUUAGAGUGUAGUAAACCAUAUUUGCAAAAUAAGAUUUUAAUGCUCUAAUUAUCAAUUAAUCAAUGAAUAAAUAUUUGUUGACUUAAUUUUUGUCAAUCAAAUUUUCUAAUCACAAUGGUAUCGUUUCUGUUUAUUAUUUUAUCAUUAUGCAACAACUUUCUCUCACAAGAUAAUAGAUUGUAGUAUUUCAUACCAAAUUAACACUCGUCCAUGUUACCGAUGAAAAUAAUGGUAGCAUUAUUAGAGAGCUUUUUCUUUUCUUGUUUUUCCCCCUUUUUCUGUUUUGUCCUUUGUUUGAUUGGGUGUAAUGAAACAGAUAUAACUAGGGACCAAGCAUGCAUGACCUAUAUAUAUCUUCAUCAACAAUCAAGGAAACAAGGGAUUGAAUUUGAUGCGUCACAUUAAUCCACCAAAGGAUAGACAUGGGACUUGACAUGAAAAUAAAUACAAACACAAACACAAACAUUUACUCCUCCAAUGAUUGUUUCAAUAUCCUUACCCUUGAUAUUUGCUCACUUUUAUAAAAUAUAAAUCUGCUGGUGAAUUUUUGGUACCUUAAACAGUUUUCUGACUUAUGAGGAAAAAAAAACUAUUUUUUUUUAAAUAUUGCACAGAGAAAUUAAAAAAAGAAAAAAAAACUGUUAAAGAGACUAAAUUAAUAAUGGUAGAAUGCUGACAAAAAAAAAUGUUAAAAUUAACUCAUUUUAAUGUGUUGACAAUUGAGUGAUUACAAUGAGCCCGACUUACAUUUUAUAUGACUAUAUUCAACUAGAUCACAUACAAAAUUUGAUUACCUUCACUACUAUAAGAUAUUAUUUGAUCAAUACAAAUUAAUUCAAAUCUGAUAUGUUAAGUAGAGAAUAACAAUGUUUUAGAUCAUUGUUUACAAUACAUGGAUAAGCUGGGUAAUUAGUUAAAGACCUGUAGACCAAAAAUGGAUUUAUGUAUUCAUCUUAUCUCCACAUUAUAUGUUGAUGCUUUCAUUUCUACUCAUCCUUUAGUUUCUUCUCAAUGCAAAUGCCAUCUGGAUAGGUGGAACAACAUUUCCAAUGUGCUAUGCUUGUGUUGGAUGUUAUCAGCAAUCUUGCAGCCAUCCGAAAAACCCUACGUGACGAGGAAGUAAGAUUAAUUUAAAAGUAUAAUCACAAGUGAUGCAAAUAAUAACAAAAUCUAAACAAUUAAGAAGUUUUACAGUCAAACUUCUAAGAAUGGAGAUUUGUUCAUUGGUUUUAAAAUUCAUUUUGCAUAUUCUAAUUUUUCAUUUAAAUAAUUGCACGAAUUUGGGUCCAGUGCUGAUCACAAUCUUGUAAGAAGAUACGCACAAAUCUUAGCUCAGCACUAAAUCCAACUCUCAAUUGCAAAUAUCAAAAUAGCAAUAAGACUUACUCGAGAUCAAUCGCACAUUCACGAGCUUUCACCGAUUGUAUCUCUAACUGUUAUUGCACGGAAAGGAGUGCCAUUUGGUAACUUGGCCUUAAGCUCAGGACCGGCAAAGACGUGCAUUGGUUCUGGCCAUUCCGGCAUUGUUUCCUCAGGUCAGGCUGCCCAUACGAAUGCUUCUUUACGACAUGGAAACAGAUCGUAUGCUGCUGCUUCCAAUGCAUCGGACCUCACCUAUAAUAACAACAAUAAAUAGAUGAAUAAUCUAAUCGGAGGUGAUUGUAUAUAUACUGACAAUAGGUUUGUUUUAACUAUGACAAAAUUACUCAACUAAUUCCCAAAUUAAGGCUCAAUUCAGGACUGGUUCGGCAAUUAAAAAGUGUUUUGUAAGGACUUUCAAUUAUGAUUUGGAAGUUAAAGAUAAUUUUACUCAACAAUUGUUUGAUGAAAUUGUAUUAGAUCUUGGCCAGGACUUGACCGAGUGUUUUCAAUCAACUUUCUUUGCACCACCUCACAACUUACUAUUUUUUCAAAUAUAUUUACUUUAAAAAUCAGGGCAUCUUGAUAGGCACCCCUCUAUGUUAAGGUUAAAUGAAUAUCGGUGGGUGAGGUUUAUAAUAAUAGACAGCAAUAACAUACCACAACGUCUUUAUGGACAUGCAAUCCAUCGGUCGUAGCAGAACUAGCUGACAGCGCCUGCAGGGCACAUGCAAUUAUAAUUUGAUCAGUGUUCACGAAGCUCAAGCAGUGUAAAUAACAGAUCAUGGCUUAAUUAAGUAAUUACCUGAAGGUGAUUAAAUAAUUGAGAAUGAAAUUAUAUUAUUAAGCAAAGACAUAAGCUAUUAUAUUAUUAAGCAAAGACAUAAGCUAAAUUACCCCAUUUAUCUGUUUGAAAUCUCGUCUUGAGAGCAAAUGCCGGCACUGACGAGGCUUGCUCAAUUUCGACCUGCAUGGCUGCAUGUCUGAUAAGAGUGGAAACAUAGUGCCUUUAGCGAAAUCGUAGAAUGUUAAAUCUGAUGCUACUGAAUAUGGAGAGUGAUUCAUAUACACGGUCUUCAUGAAUAUAUAGUUGUUAAUUACAGGAGAAGUUGCAAUAUGAAGUUAAUUUGAAAUUUAUAUUUCUCACCUCGAAUAAUUUCUGGUAAAUCGCUGAUUCGAUAAGGUUAAACUUUCUUUAUGAUCAUCAUCUUCUUCUUGGUCUUCGCCUUCCGAUAUUCCUAUUUCUGAUGUUUCUCCACAUUUUCUUCCUCUUUUAACAACUUUCGUUGAAGAUUUUGACAGACAUAUCAUUGUGAGAAGAGUAUUUCUAAAGUUUACAACUUGGAAAUGAGACCUUAUGUGAUAUGUACAUGAAGGAUAGAGUACCUAUCAGUAUUUAUAAGAAACAAUGUGAUGGUUUUAAAGAGACUAGUGGUGGUUUUAAAGAAACUAAAUAAAGUUUAUUAUUUAAUAAAAAGUCAAAUACAAAUUCCGAAGAAUCCUCUGUAUAAUCAACAGGAUCUGGAAAACGGAGGCACAUGCAUGGCAAUAUCUUUACUUUGUGAGACUGGAUUAUUUUUAUAGAUUUUUAUCCAAAGAAACUAAAUAAAGUUUAUUAUUUAAUAAAAAGUCAAAUACAAAUCCCGAAGAAUCUGCUGUAUAAUCUGACAAGAUCUAGAAAACUGAAGCACAUGCAUAGCAAUAUCACUACUUUGUACGACUGGAUUAUUUUUAUAAUUUUUUAUCCAAAGAAACUAAAUAAAGUUUAUUAUUUAAUAAAAAGUCAAAUACAAAUCCCGAAAAAUACGUUGUAUAAUCAGACAAAAUCUAGAAAACUGAGGCACAUGCAUGGCAAUAUCAUUACUUUGUACGACUAGAUUAUUUUUAUAAAUUUUUAUCCAAAGAAACUAAAUAAAGUUUAUUAUUUAAAAAAAGUCAAAUACAAAUCCCGAAAAAAUCCGCUGUAUAAUCUGACAGAAUCUGAAAAACGAAGGCACAUGUAUGGCAAUAUCAUUACUUUGUAUGAGUGGAUUAUUUUUACAACUUUUUAUCCAAAGAAAUUAAAUAAAGUUUAUUAUUUAGUAAAAAGUCAAAUACAAAUCUCGAAGAAUCCGCUGUAUAAUCUGACAAAAUCUGGAAAACAAAGGCACAUGUAUGGCAAUAUCAUUAUUUUGUAUGACUGGAUUAUGUUUACAAAGUUUUAUCCAAUCCCUUGUUUGAUGCCAGUAAAUCAAUAUUUAAAUAUAUAGUUAUUUUGUUAUGUUAUUUGAUUUUAACUAUUAAUGUCAAUAUUGGAAUAUAUAUUUAUAUUGAACUAAUAAAAUAACUGUAUAAAAAUAUUUGAAUAAACUUAAUUAUGAAUUUUGAAUUCAUGAUGUAAGGUAGCGUUUGUUUUUAAAUCUGAAAUAUUAGUAAGUCUGACUUUAGCUAAAAUCUGAAUAGAUUUGAAUUGCAUAUGUCUAAAUGGCAUGUUUUUUUUUCUCUUUUUUGAUGUCUGAAUAUAAGUGACAUCUUUUUUUUAUAAAUAAAAAAAACUGAAAUAUGAUUAUUUAACAUUUAUGUCCUUGUAAGAAUUAUUUAUACUUAUUAUAAAUUUUAAGAUUUAACUAUGUGCACGUUACAAUUAAAAUCAAAGAUAUGUAGAAUUGAGUAAUUGAUCUUUAAAUAAAAAUAUUAUUAUAUUACUCCAAAUACAAAAUUGAAUCAAACUUAUUAUACUUUAAAAUUUAAAUUUAAUUUUAUAAUUUACAUCAUCUUUUUUACCAUUUAAGAUUGUAAAAGCCCAUUCGCCCAAACCUAGUCUUAAUUAGCUGUAUAUAAGUGUAAAGGCCCAUAUGUUCUUAAGAAGUGUUAAGAGUUUUCAUAGACCCAUAAGUGAAUGGAUAUGUGUAAUGCCCUCAAAUUCAAGCCAGAGUUAUAACUGUUGGCAGAUCUGUGUAAUCCUUUUAAAACCGUUCUCUAAUUAUAUUAAAAGACAAAAUAAAUCUAAUUAAAUUCUUAUAUUUCUCUCUCUAUAAGUUUCUUUUUUUAAUGAGAAAAAGACAUCUACACCCCUAAGGUUUGGAAAAAUGAUCAUCAACACCCCUAUGUUUUCAAAGGUGGACACCAAGACUCCCUUUGAUGAUUAUACUCUUUAUCUCUAUUAUUUCAAAAGAAUUAACUCUAAUAUUUUACAAUAAAUAGAAAUAUGAUAUUAAAAUAAAUGUAAUAAUACAUACAUUUUAAAAUAAUUUCAAUUUUUAAACAAUAUUUUAAUAUUUUAUAAUUUAUUAGAUAUAUUUUACUAUAUUAAAGUAAAUUUUAUGAUAAAUAGAAUCAUAAUAUUAAAAUAAAUGUAUUAAAAAUUUAAAUUAUAUUGAAUAUUAUGUAAAAUAAUAAUUUUAACAAUAUUAGUAUGUGAGAAUGUUUUUAAUUGUAGAACGUAUUUAAUGCAAAUAUUUAUUUAAAAUCUCUACAAUAAAAAAUAUAUUAUUAAAAUAAAUAUGAUAAAUUACAUAUUGAAAUAUUAAAUAUUUUAAUAUUUCUAGUCUACUACAUAGAUUAUACUAUUUAUAUGGUAUUUGUAUUUGCUAAAAAUUUUAAAGUCAAUUUUUUAGAAGAAUAGAGAUAAGGGAUAUAAUGGCCAAAAGAAGGUCAUGGUGUCCCUCCUUGAAAACUUAGGGGUGUUGGUGACCAUUUCCCCAAAUCUUGGGGGUGUAGAUGUUCUUUUUCCUUUUCGAAUUCAUUACCCCCACACAACUACACCAAACAACCAAAAUUUUGUGGGAUCUGUAGUUCAGGCAGAAGCGGCCGGCCGAAUGCUUCCAGCAACUCAGGCAGAUAGAACCUUGGUUGAUUUGUUUUUCUUCAUCUGAAAUUCUACCUAAUGGCUAUCCUUUUAAUUGGUUUAAAUUCUUCUUUUUUCUUUGAGUUGUUGAUUUAUAGUGCCUUACAUGCAAAAUUCAAAAUUUCGGAUGAUGAUAAUCUUGUUUUAGAAGAGAUUUCUAGUUAUGCUAGCAGCAUUCUUGAUCGUGGCAUCACAAGCACAUGCUCUGGUUUGCUUAGUUUGCCUUUUGUCUCUGAUAUUUUCUUGGCAUUGUGGGAUAUUGUUUCUUUUUUUUUUUUUUUUUGUUAUAGGAUUCGGAGAUAUUGUAUAUGUAUGACGAUGAUAUAAUAAUGUGCUUUUGAUAAAUUCACCUGGUCGGUUUACUUCACCAACCAUUAAUGAGCAAAUCCUCCCAGUGACCCUCAAACUCUUCAACACAAUUAUAAUAAUUUCAGUUUUAUAUAUACAAAAGUGAACAGCUCUUAAAUAUAUUAUUUGAUAAUGACAAACACAACAACUCACUCCAAUAAAUCUCGUAAUAAAGAAAUGGUCUAUAUUGCAAGUCUUUUUAGGACGCAUUCAAAAAGAAAACAUAAGGAAUGGCGUUGCAAGAAUAUGGAAUCAGAAUAACAGUGAUACAAAGAGAAAAAAAGGGGAUGGUCGGAUUGCUUUGUUUGCAAAAUUAUUGAUGCGGGGGUCUACUUGCUUUUAAUUCACUUUAUUAAUUAAUUAGCGAACCAAACAUGUAAUCAUUUAAAAAAGGAUCACUGGCCCUAGCUUACAAAAGAUGAAUUUGUAAGACAUAUUAGUUUUGAUGAAAAUGUAGUGUUAUUAAGUUAUGAAUUCAUUAACUUAGAGGUAUUAAUAUUUACUAAUGAUGGUGAUUAAUUUAUUUAACUUGUCAUAGUCUUCAAUUAACAAUGAAGUGAAAUCAAUUUAUGGAAAAAAAAUAAUAAGUUUUUUACUAAUAAGUUUUUUACUUUUUAAGAUUUCAUUUUGCUCUUUUUCAAUUAUUGACGUUGUCGAAGAGGGUAAUAAAAGCUUGUUGAAUUUCAUCAAAGGCUUGUAUCUCAUCUCACAAAUUGGCAAUAUCGAUUGGCUUCUUUAUAGGUGAAGCCAUCACGAAUUUAUCACUUCUUUCAUAUUGAUACCCAUAAAUUUCAACCUUAUUUUAUCUUUGAUGCACAAUCUAACUUAACAAAAAUAGUAUUCAAAUUGUCACAAAAUGUUUUUUUUUUUAAAAAAAUCAUAUACAAUAGUUAAUUUUUCUUCUUCUUUUAAAAAAAAAAUCAUAUACAAUAGUUAAUUUUUCUUCUUCAAGUUUUGUAUGAAACACUAAUCUUGCUCUGUACUUUGGAGUAUUUUAAUAAUUGAUGUUAAGAUUUGCUAAUGUAAUUAUAGUGAAAGAGAACCAAUUUGGAAAAGUGAAUACUUAGUAGUGGGAGUUCUAUCCUUUGGGGUUUAAUUAAUGUUUGAUGUUGUUUCUGUUGGCCUCAGCUAGUUGUUAAGAUUUCAUACCUUUUGUUGGUUUUUCAUAACUGUGACCUAAAGCUUAAUGUAUACUUUGAUAAUUACAUAAUCGGUUUCUUGCUGAUACUUGGCUUUAAUUUAUAAACCUGAGGCUCUUUUGGGAGUUGGGAAGAUUUACGAAAGAGGAGUUUCUGAUUAUCUGGUUUGUUCUCUUUAUGCCUACAGAAGUUGAAUUCACUCUAUGCAUGAAUUUAUGAUUCUUUUAGAAAGAUUUUAUUCUUGAGAAAGAUUUGAUGAAAUUGAAGCAUUAUAGUAAAGCGUACCACUGGUAAGCUUGAUUCACUUUUUUUCAUUUACUACCAAGAGGUGCCAACAGUUCAUGAUGCACAAAAAGAGGUGGGGAAAAAAAGAAAUCUUCUUGCUAGAUACAUAAAUUUAAUAUUUGAAUCAUUUUCAACCAAAGAAAUGUGCUGAAGAGCACCAUUUUCGUUUAUAUCAAAGUUCAAUUGCAUCUUAUAUCAUCUGUUUCCAUCUCCUUUGUGGUAAAUAAAGUCCUUGGUGAUGACAAUAAGAAUCACAGAAGAAGUUAAUUUCUUAUCUGGAGAUUUUCAUCAUAGUAGUUCAUUGAAAGUGAAGGCAGCUGAGUACUCCUUUUUCUGAUGCAGUCUGUCCCUCUUUGGUGUGAUUAUUUGAAAUUUGCGCAAGAAUAUGAUCCAUCUAUACGAGAAUGUGCCUAAUAAAAUAUCACAAAGGUGCCUAAUACAGUGAAAUUAACAUAUUCAGCUCAUGAGAUUGCCAUUAUAUAUAUUGAAAAAGAAAUUAAUAUAAGAAACUGAAAUUAAUUGACACUGGUUCAUGAUGGAUUGUUAGUUGUUAAUUAUGAUGGGAAUAUAAUCUUGGUCUUUUAAUUAUCAUCUAGCUAAUGCAUGUGCACUUUCAUUUGUGUCUAUCACUGAAGAAUAAAGUUGCUUGAUUGAACAUCAUAUGACAGAAACUCAAAACGCAAUUUCAUUGCCCGAGCAUACCAUGCCAUAUGUGGCUCAAAAGUACAAUUAACAUUGAACGUUCAGCUAGCUAGCUCGUACUAAUUAAUUUAUAGGAUUGCUAGUUCUUUAUGAUUCACUAAAAGAGAAAAUAUUUGACAAUCACGAGAACAAUAACAAUUCACUCCCAUAAACAACAUAAUAGAUACAUGGUCUAUAUUGCAAGUCUUUUUAUGAUUUUAAUUAAAAGAGAAAAUGCAACGGACAUAUUAUAUAUAAUUGAAUGUUCUCCUUGAUAAUUAGUCAAAAUAACGCCAAUAUGAAUAACUAAUACAAUCAUCAUAAUUAUCCGAUUUUCAUUUUAAUUAUGUCCAACCAUGCUAAUUUAAUAAAGAACACUGACCGAAUACAUGAGCAUUUAUAUGUUCAACAAAUUUGGCUGAGUAUGAAAAAUAUAAGAGCUACAUUUAUGCUUUGUGUUAUUAAGUAGGACAUGACCAUAUUAUGUUGCAUUUGUCAGAAAACUGAAAAUUAUCGAAAAGGAUCCUAAAAGAGAUGUGUUGAGUUGUGAGCUUAAAAAUGAGUUUUAGAAGUUCCUGACAUGUCGGUGUGUAUCCUUGAUUGUGCAUGCCCUGUCGGUUUCUGGAUGAAACAGAAGAAUAUGACAUGUGUGUAUUGUCUUUUACUUCCAGCAAGCACGUGAUUUAAGUGAAUCACAUGUUCUUCACGUGAUUUGACAUACUUUAUACGGAUUUAGCAGUUGUUUUGGUCACUUAUUGAAGCACGAGUUAAGCACGUGAUUCAAGGUUGUUAACUGACCGUUAUAAGGUGGAAAAUUCUGGGUUUCUUACAACAAACCCAGAGGGCAUCUGGUGAGUGGAAGCUGUUUCUAGAUUCUUCAUGAUCUGUAUAUAUAACACAAAACUACAUGCAUGUCAAUUGCUUUAUGUUAAUAUUGUUACUAAUGAGGCAGCUAGUAAUCCCUUUGGUGUAAAUAAUUAACUUUCAUAUGCACAAUAUUUAAAAUAAUCACCAAACAACAAUUCACAAGUUACAUUACACAUAAACAAAAUAAAACUAAUCUAGCAAAUUCAAUCAUAAUAAUUUGAUUUUCAUUUAUAUUAAUUAUUUCCAAUCAUGCUAUUUUUUUUUUAAAAAGAACACUCCAGUGUUUAUAUAUCCAACAGGUAAAAUUUCAAAACAAUAUUUGCUAAAGUCUGAUGAAGAGAAUAUACACGCACACACAUAUAUAUAACCGUACAGCAGAAUGAUAAAUAAAAGAAAAUGAAGUUUCAACAGCUGAAUAAUGCAUUUUAUUGUUUAAUUAAAAAAUUCGAAAACCCAUUGGCCAUAUAUACAUGAUAAAGACUCACUGAAGCCGAGCCAUAUUAAUUUAAAUUAAUUUUCAAUUGAGAUUUAAAUUUUGAAAUUACAUACACAAACACGCCCAAUUUAAAAAAAAAAAUAGUAAUUAUAAAAUAUUUCAGUCAUUUAUUACAACAUAAGGUAUAUGGGUUAACAAGUCCCAAUAUUGUCCUCCAUCCUUUCUGCACUUCUCUGUUAUCAACGGACAACUCCAGAUCUGUAAUUGCAAAAGUGAGGAAGGCAGGCCCUUCUCCGGAAAGUAUUUGAGCUUGGGACAUCCCCAGAGAACCAAUUCAAUGAGGUUUUGAAGAUCAACAAUUGAAGAAGAUAGGCGUUCCAGAUUUGGAAAAUCUUCAAUCCACAGAGAUGUUAGAGAGGCAGGAAGAGGAAGCGCGGUCCCUAAUCUUUUGUCCUCUAGUGGAAAUGACACCAUGUCUUCAUCGCAUCCACUGAUUAAAAGAUAUCGCAGAGAGGAGAAUCUGUGAAAUCCCCGUCCCCGCUCAAUCAUC
This 15661-nucleotide long non-coding RNA is filed under the name Citrus x clementina. RNAcentral's name for it is "Citrus clementina (C. clementina) long non-coding RNA (CCLE_LNC002270)". The record is from RNAcentral. Lineage: Eukaryota; Viridiplantae; Streptophyta; Magnoliopsida; Sapindales; Rutaceae.